Prunus avium (sweet cherry) is the source of this 1634-nucleotide RNA transcript. It is a transcript of the gene named trihelix transcription factor ENAP1, with no coding region annotated. The record is from RefSeq and is a predicted model, not a curated record. NCBI's taxonomy places the organism in Eukaryota, Viridiplantae, Streptophyta, Magnoliopsida, Rosales, Rosaceae.
UCCAAAUGGAUUGCAGUACAUAAAAAGGAAAAAAAAACAAAGGUUUAUAGCAAAAGAGAUUUGUUAGUGAGUGUUAUUGUCGAGUACGGUAAAAAUAAUAAUCCGAUAAGGCGGGCGGAGAGUAAUGCGAUGGGAAACGGACCGAGCCGAGCCGGUAAAAUCGAAGCCACUAAAGCCUUAAUGACAUCGACAAGACCUCACGCGCUCAUCCCGGCGACCUUCCUCCUACACUCGCGGCUCAUGCGGCCGGCGCUCUCCUCCCACCGACGCGACCCCUUUACUCCCUAACUACACCCACUCUCUCUCUAUUCCCACCCACGCGGACAAACCCCCACCCCCCAAUUUCCAACCCCCAACCAAACACUUUCCGUUCCCGACGAUGGGUGACCUAACGGACCCCCAAAUGACGCCGCCCCAUGCCACCGCCACCACCCCCUCCUCCAACCCUCGCCCUAUGCCUGUCCGCGAAGACUGCUGGAGCGAAGACGCUACCUCCACUCUCGUCGACGCCUGGGGCCGCCGUUACCUCGAGCUCAACCGCGGGUGCCUCCGUCAGAAGGACUGGCAGGAGGUCGCUGACGCCGUCAACGCCCUUCACGGCCACACCAAGAAGACCCACCGCACCGACGUCCAGUGUAAGAACCGCAUCGACACCAUCAAGAAGAAGUACAAGUUCGAGAUGAAUAGGGUUUCGUCCUCCAACGGAGCCCUGACCUCUUCUUGGCCUUUCUUCGAGAGGCUCGACGCUCUCAUCGGAUCUAACUACAAGAAGCCGUCUCCUUCGCCCCCGGUCGCUGUUCCGUUGCCUUUGGGGUAUCGGAAGACGCCGUCUCCGGCGACCGUUGUGACGGCUGUGGCGCUGCCGCAGAAGCGGUCUGCGUCGUCUGCGGCGGUCGACGAGGGUUUCUUCAGGAUGAAUUACUCGGCUGUGGCUGCGGCGGCAGCGGCAGGGGCCGAGGAUGAUGACGACGAGGACGAGGAUGAGGACGACGAGGUGAACUAUGAGGUUGAUGAGGAGGUUGAGAUGGAGAGGGAGAGAGAUAGCGGAGGCGAGAUUGGAGGUGGAGGAGGAGGAGAAGGGUUGAAGAGAUUGGCGAGAGCGAUUGAGAGGUUUGGGGACGUGUAUCAGAGAGUGGAGGCGGAGAAGUUGAGGCAGAUGGUGGAGUUAGAGAAGCAGAGGAUGCAAUUCGCCAAUGAUUUGGAGGUGCAGAGGAUGAAUAUGUUCAUGGACACGCAGGUCCAGCUCGAGCGGAUCAAGCAUGGCAAGCGAUCGGGCUCUAAUGCUUUUAUGCAUGGAUGUGAACGUUUGUAAAGUUGAGCUCUGAGAGUUUUAUAUAGAGUUCUAUCAAUUCGUAGAACAGAAGAACAGAAACAUAUCCUGGUUGGUAACAUUAACAGUGGAGUGAUAUGUUUUCCACGAGGGUAGCUGGGCUUAUUGAUAGCAAAAGAUGAAGAUUCCUAUUAAAGUUCUGAGUUAGAUGCUUUCUGAUCUUUCUUGUAUUGCUUGAAGUAAAUUCAUGCUGCUUGUGAUUGUGGUUUAGAGUCACCUGAGUAUCUCGUGGCGUGUUGGCAUUUCUUGAAUCAGAGUUUUACUGCAAAUUUGAUUUGUAAGAAUGUUUUUGUGGGUUCUCGUG